CUUCCGCCGGCGACCGGCGCACGGGUGAGUAACACGUAUGCAACCUGCCCGUAGCAGGGGGAUAAGCGGAAGAAAUUCCGUCUAAUACCGCGUAACAACCCGAGGAGGCAUCUCCUCGGGUUUAAAGGAAGCGAUUCCGGCUACGGAUGGUCAUGCGUCGCAUUAGCUAGUUGGCGGGGUAACGGCCCACCAAGGCGACGAUGCGUAGGGGUUCUGAGAGGAAGGUCCCCCACACUGGUACUGAGACACGGACCAGACUCCUACGGGAGGCAGCAG
Molecule: ribosomal RNA, 276 nt
Filed under: uncultured bacterium
Lineage: Bacteria
Description: partial 16S ribosomal RNA
Rfam family: Bacterial small subunit ribosomal RNA
Source: RNAcentral